RNAcentral lists this ribosomal RNA (253 nucleotides) under uncultured bacterium. RNAcentral's name for it is "partial 16S ribosomal RNA". It matches the Rfam family "Bacterial small subunit ribosomal RNA", at positions 524 to 776 of the family's 1533-position model. The record is from RNAcentral.
UACAGAGGGGGCGAGCGUUGUCCGGAAUUACUGGGCGUAAAGGGCGCGUAGGCGGCCAACUAAGUCAGACGUGAAAUCCCUCGGCUCAACCGGGGAACUGCGUCUGAUACUGGAUGGCUUGAAUUCGGGAGAGGGAUGCGGAAUUCCAGGUGUAGCGGUGAAAUGCGUAGAUAUCUGGAGGAACACCGGUGGCGAAGGCGGCAUCCUGGACCGAGAUUGACGCUGAUGCGCGAAAGCCAGGGGAGCAAACGGG